UGGACGGAGUACUUCGUC
This 18-nucleotide small nuclear RNA is filed under the name Arabidopsis thaliana (thale cress). RNAcentral describes it as "snRNA_02115". The record is from RNAcentral. Lineage: Eukaryota; Viridiplantae; Streptophyta; Magnoliopsida; Brassicales; Brassicaceae.